This 254-nucleotide ribosomal RNA is filed under the name uncultured bacterium. RNAcentral describes it as "partial 16S ribosomal RNA". It matches the Rfam family "Bacterial small subunit ribosomal RNA", at positions 524 to 776 of the family's 1533-position model. The record is from RNAcentral.
UACGGGGGGAGCAAGCGUUGUUCGGAUUUACUGGGCGUAAAGGGCGCGUAGGCGGUCGUGACAAGUCACUUGUGAAAUCUCCGGGCUUAACUCGGAACGGUCAAGUGAUACUGUCGGACUAGAGUACAGAAGGGGCAACUGGAAUUCUCGGUGUAGCGGUGAAAUGCGUAGAUAUCGAGAGAAACACCUGCGGCGAAGGCGGGUUGCUGGGCUGAUACUGACGCUGAGGCGCGAAAGCCAGGGGAGCGAACGGG